GACGGCCCAGUGGUUAGAGCGUCCGCCUGGGAUGCGGGAGAUGGCGGGUUCAAACCCUGGCCAAGUCA
This is a non-coding RNA of Potamilus streckersoni, 68 nucleotides long. The record is from the annotation of a GenBank genome assembly. NCBI's taxonomy places the organism in Eukaryota, Metazoa, Mollusca, Bivalvia, Unionida, Unionidae.